GUGAGUUAUUUCGUUUGGCAGCCAUCAGGUCAAUACAUUUGUCUUCAGCCCUUUUUGUACAGGGAGGCAUUACAAACUCUUGCGUUCUUCAUACCAUGUAACUUGGUGCUGACUUAUGACUUUUCCUUAAGAAUCAUGUGUGGAUUACAACAAUGGGCAUUCAAUCUUAGUAGGUUUACUAAGCCCACCUUGAAGGAAGAGCAGAUGCUGAGAGAUUCCUUAUCCGGAAGCAUAAUGUUUAAGGGAAGAUGGGAAGUUAGCCUGGAACAGUUGCUAAGGACUCAGUGUGACAUCAUGUUGAUAAAGAAACACCAGGAAACAAACUCCUGCUGCAAGACUUCUAGAAAAAUGCCAAUCUGCUUUUUGUGAGGUCUGUCUGACUUGUGUUCCAGACGUUAAAACAGACACCACAGGAAGGUACUGGAGUAUAACUCAGUGGCAUAGUGCUUGCUUGCCUUUAGGCCCUGGUUUCCUAGCCCUGGAAAAAAAUCUAGGAGGCCAGGCUUUAGAUGAGGCCCAUGCACUAAAUUCUGACAGACCAGGAUAAAAAUGAA
This 554-nucleotide long non-coding RNA is filed under the name Mus spicilegus (steppe mouse). Its description in RNAcentral is "lncRNA (ENSMSIG00000003055.1)". Lineage: Eukaryota; Metazoa; Chordata; Mammalia; Rodentia; Muridae. The record is from RNAcentral.